GUCUCCAUCGUCUAGAGGCCUAGGACAGCGGGUUCUCAUCCCGCCAACCCCGGUUCGAAUCCGGGUGGAGAUGCCA
Molecule: transfer RNA, 76 nt
Filed under: Lentisphaerota bacterium
Lineage: Bacteria; Pseudomonadati; Lentisphaerota
Also listed under: 1 other name
Description: Lentisphaerae bacterium tRNA-Glu
Rfam family: tRNA
About the family: Transfer RNA (tRNA) molecules are approximately 80 nucleotides in length. Their secondary structure includes four short double-helical elements and three loops (D, anti-codon, and T loops). Further hydrogen bonds mediate the characteristic L-shaped molecular structure. tRNAs have two regions of fundamental functional importance: the anti-codon, which is responsible for specific mRNA codon recognition, and the 3' end, to which the tRNAs corresponding amino acid is attached (by aminoacyl-tRNA synthetases). tRNAs cope with the degeneracy of the genetic code in two manners: having more than one tRNA (with a specific anti-codon) for a particular amino acid; and 'wobble' base-pairing, i.e. permitting non-standard base-pairing at the 3rd anti-codon position.
Source: RNAcentral